GGGUUUCCUUCGGGAGGCUGGAUGAUGGAAGACGGUCAGGACGGGCAUCUCCGCUUGGCUUAACCUCCAGUUUUACACUGUCUCGGUGAGGGGGGGGGACCUUCUGCUAUCAAAGGUUUUACAGAUGGUUCUAGAUGUGGCAACAGAUUAGUAAAGGGAAAAGCAACGACUUGCUUGGCAGAGCUUACACUUCUCAAGUGUUGACCUGGGUUUUAAAUUUUGCGACUGUAAUUUUAGACAAUGCGGGACACGCACAGAAGCUGCCUCGGAGGUAAAGGGAGACGAGAGGAGUAUCGUUCUGGACUGGGUCCUCGCUGAAGGCCGGUGGUAACACCCAGGACAAAGCACCAAAACUGGAUCAGUUAGGGGGGUAUGAAUAGGCAUGGAUUCUUUUCCUUCCCGACCGGGGCAUCUUUCCAGACAGACUUUUGGGGAGGCUUCUAAGGGCCCCUGUAAUGAUUGCAUUACCAUGUUGGCCCUGACGAUGUCCCAAGGCACUUGGGCUGAGACUCACUGUGUGUCUGCCCAGCAGAGACGUGGGGGGGGGGGGGGGGGGGGGAAGUGAUGUUUCCUGCAGAAACCUUCAACGGUCUCCCAGCAGUGGUAGUAAAUCUGGGGUCAGCUUUUCUGACCCUUAGACAUUAAGCAAGCUACAGGAAGUGAGUGCAGAAGUCUCCUGGCCAGGCAAAUAAUGAAGUGUAUCCCAGUACGCUUAGCUGCAAACCGCCCCCCUCCCCCCAGAGGAAAAUCAGGAUUACAAAAGGGACGGAGGUGUCAGAAGAGAGGAGUGAGAAGUCUGAGCGGUCAGCCUCCUCGAGGAUUGUCUGGGACAAGAAAGGGAAUUCGGGGGGUGGGGGGCGGGCCAGGACCGAGCUCCAGGGUGGAGCUGUUGCUGUUUGCUUCUCGCCAGCCGGCAUCGUACAAAGAUGUGGUUUACCCACCAGCACUGAACAAAUGUCCGUCCCUUCAUGGGUGGUCGGAUCCGGUGCACAGGGGGAGGUGGAGAGCAGAAGACAAAGACAAUCCGACUCGAGCCCACUGACCUUUCCCCUUGUCGUGUGUCCUAGGGAGGUCUGGUUCUCAUUGGGCUUCAGACAAACCACAGUGGACCCCUUCCUCCCGGGAGGAGCCCCUGCCUUCUUGCCCGGGGUGGCUGGAAGCAUCGUCUGAGUACCUGUCCUUCUUCCUCCGACAGCUUGCUGACGGACAGCACCCUAGCAUCUGGGGCAGCGUUUACAGAGCGCGGAACACUCGUGUACUUGUUAGCCCUCACCCCACGCCAGUGGCUGGCUACUGUCCUCCUCUCGCAGCGUGGAACCUGAGCUCCAGAGGGGUUAAGAGACGUGUUCAGCAUCACACCACCUGACGAGAAAACGGCUCAGCCGAGGGUGUGGCACGGGUGUUCUUGUCCCAGUUUGCACACGGGGAAGCCGAGGCGCAGAGAGCACCCACGCGUCCUGCCCGCGGACUCGGACUCGGCAUUCGUGGGACGUCAGUAUCCAUCCGGGGAACGAGGCGGUCUGGCUCCAGAGCCCCGGCUCUUUGUGUGUGUCCUAGACCGCCUUUCCCACUGCUCGGGGCGGGGGUGGUGUCUUCUUGAAGGCAGAUUCCGAUCUCGUGGGUCGAGGGGAUGGCCCACGGUUCUGCAUUUUUUUAAACAAGCUCUCAGAUGACGCGAUGCCGACGGCCCACAGGCAGCUGCGGGGAGUGAUGACGCUCUGUGCUCCAGCUACGUGUUAUUGUUAUCUGACUGCCAGAAUUCAUUGAUCCAUCUCUGGUUGCCAAAAUCCCUUGUCCCCUCCCACACACACUACUGGCAUGCCCACUCCUAAGGGUACCCUUCUCUCCAAAUCUGUAGCUAUUCUAUGGUUGCAGUCAUUAGGACGAUGGCCCCUCACCAAAAAUGAAUAUAAUAAUCAUUUGGGGAGCUCUUUCAACACGAACACCCUCUCCUCUCAAUUGCAGACAGUCUGAUCCGGGAUAUUAGGGGCGGGGCGAGGGGUAAGAACAGAGAGAUUCCCUGCUGUUUCUGGUAUAAACCAACCUAUCCUUUCUCUUACCCUUUCAAGUCACCAGGUACCCAAGUCACCUACGUAACAACACCCAGGAAGUGGCUAGGAAAAUCAGAAUUCUCCUGGGUGGUGAAUACUCUUCCAGAAAGCUUCCUCUUCCCAAUAGCAUUAAGAUAGGUCCACUUCUCUGCCAAUCCCCCAGUGCUAGGCACGGAUUGAUGCUCCCACUUCCUCCUCCCCUGUGCCUCAACUCUCUAACUGCAGACUUCAUUCUCCUGCCCCACAUCAGCUUAGCCAAUAGGCAUAACACUGAGCCCUUCUGGAAAGGAUCAAAAUCACUUCUGACCUGACAAGCCUAAGACUGAAGGAGCAUGGAUGGUUUUUCUCUCUCCCUUUAAGCCCUGAGCCCAGUAAUCUAGCUGUUCUGAGUCUUGGCCUCAGAAACAAGAACUCUUCAAGACGAGUCCUUUCUCUUUAAGGAUUUUCAAAGACCAGCUCCUUACAUGAUUAUGUUUUCCCCUGACCUUUUUUUCCUACAGUUCCAAAGAAAGCCUCACAUUGAGGAAAACUAGAAAGGCAUGAUUCAGUGAUGUCAAAUGCUCUCAGGAUUCCUCCUUCCAAAGUCUUUGUUAAUUGUGCCCUGUAUCUAUAGUGAUAAAUUUAAAGAGACACGAAGCAGCAGGAUCCCAAAGACACUAGAUGAUUGUGCUGUUCCAUUAAGUUGAAACAAUGCAGCAGAGUCUCGAGUCUAUCUCCAGGGCAACAGAAAAUGCCAGUCACCGUCAGGUGGGCUUUCUGAUGAAUCUUUUAAAAUGGACUUUCACGUACUUGUGUUAUUUUUAAUAUGGGAAAAUUGAUUUCAUAAGUAUUUAAAUAAAGUUAAAAAUACUUUGAACCAAAAAUAUAUCUUUGCUUUAAUCCCAAAUUUUGCUUUUUGGUAUUUUGUUGAUUUGUGGCAAAAUAAAAUUUCUCAGAUCAGAUCGAAAGAAAGACCCCAUGAAAACCCCAAAAGCAACAUAUUAGCAAAAAAAAAAAAAAAAUGGCAACAUAGUGAGAUGUGGUCUUAAAAAUCUCUAUUGCCAAACCAUUUCACUUCGCUCUGGACAUCAGGCUUGGAUCUUCUAGGAAGGCUGAAACAAUCAGGUACAAGUGAGGAGCUCUUAAAAUACGGCUGUAGGCCAAGGGCCCUGAGCCCUGUGGAGGGCAAAGCAAGACUGCAUCCUGUUGGACACUCCGUCCCCAGUCUCUCAGUCUGGCCUCAGCUGGUCCUCUGCGCUCAGCUUUGAAUCCUCGCCAUGACCUCUUGUGCAUGACCACCCUUUUUGACGGCAUUUUUCUUGGCUGACCUCAAAAUUCUCUUUUGGAUAUAAUAUAUAUAUUUUUUAAUGUUUAUUUAAUUUUGAGAGAGGAGGGGGGAGAGGCACAGAGAGAAGGGGACAGGGGAUCUGAAGCAGGCUCUGUGCUGAUAGCAGAGAGCCUGAUGCAGGGUUCGAACUCAGGAACUGUGAGAUCAUGACCUGAGCUGAAUUCCUACGCUUAAUGGACUAAACCAUCCGGACACCCCCGGAUAUAAUUUUAAAUCCUUGCUCUGCAGACACAUUUAUGAUGACUAGGAACAAAAACUUCUAGAGCUAUGCUAUCCAAGAUGGUAGCCACUAAUCAUGUGUGUCUAUUUAAAUAACUUAAAAUUAAAUAAAAUGUAAAAAUCCAGGUCCUCAGUCACACUAGGCACAUUUCUUUUUUUUUUUAAUUUUUUUUUUUAACGUUUAUUUAUUUUUGAGACAGAGAGAGAUAGAGCAUGAAUGGGAGAGGGGUAGAGAGAGAGGGAGACACAGAAUCGGAAGCAGGCUCCAGGCUCUGAGCCAUCAGCGCAGAGCCCGACGCGGGGCUCGAACUCACGGACCGCGAGAUCGUGACCUGGCUGAAGUCGGACGCUUAACCGACUGAGCCACCCAGGCGCCCCACACUAGGCACAUUUCAAGGGUCCAAUAGCCACAUUCCCUUCCCUGCAGAAAGUUCUAUUGAACAGUGUGGAUUUAGACAUAUUCCUACUUUCGGGGCGCCUGGGUGGCUCUGUCGGUUGAGUGUCCGACUUUGGCUCGGGUCAUGAUCUCGCAGAUUGUGAGGUCGAGCCCCAUGUCGGGCUCUGUGCUGACAGCUGGGAGCCUGGAGCCUCCUUCGGAUUCUGUGUCUCCCCUCUCUCUACCCCUCCCCCUGCUCACGCUCUGUGUCUCUCUCUCAAAAAUAAGUAAACAUUAAAAAAAAUUUUUUUAAUUAAAAAAAAGAAAUAUUCCUACUUUCAUCCCAAAUGAAAGGAGCUGACCAAUUUGACGUCAGUUAGGGUCUUCCCCAAUUCCCCCUAAUCCAAGUAAUAUGGAACUGAUACCACUAGAGUCUAGAAUAAUGUUGUUAGUAUCCUCCUGAGAUAGUUCCAGCAGCGGUUUAGAGUUCCUUCAGAUGACUCUGGAAUGCCUGCAGCACCAUUUUGACCAUCUACAUACUGAAAAAUAUCAAAUACAGGGUAGCUAGAUCAUCAGCGAAGAAGACUUUGGUUGAGGAACUCAGAGCAGCACGUGAUGAGGGGGCAUAAAGGCCGCAAACACCCCCCACCCCCGGGGGGGGGGGAUAUGUGUGAUAUUCUUCGGGCACUCCAUGCUGCCCAAAAACAAAGGAAAGGGGGAAACAAAAGGCCAACUGAUAGAGAUCACAGUCAUGCAGGACCUGAGUUGACCGUAUCUUAGUAAAUUACAAGAAAUAAAUUACAAGUAAAUAUCUUAGUAAGUUACAAGAAAAAAGCAUUCUUAUCAAUAGCCUAAUCUCCAGAAACCCACAGACUCGGUUUCCUGGAGCCCCAACAUCACCGCUCCACAGGGAUGUGGGAAACAAAGACAGAAGGAAAUGGCAGAUAAAAUUAAAUUUCCUUAUAAACUGCAGCCCAUUGACAAAUAACCUGAGGCUGUCAGGAACUCCCUUACUGUUUUAAUGCUAAUGCUUUGCUAGAGGGAAAAACCACCUAAGCUUGACAAUAAGCAGCUUCCAGUAUCCCCUGGGUCUUCUUUAGCAUAUGAAAAUCUCAUUGGAAAUUCUGCUGGACUUGACCUCCCCCAACAGCCAAAAGUAUAACCAGUCUCUCCACAGGGUCCUGGGGCAGCUGCCCACGGGUCCCGUCCCCGCGCUUUACUAAAAUCACCUUUUUGCACCAAAGACGUCUUAAGAAUUCUUUCUUGGCCAUCGGCUCCGGACCGCCCACCAUCACCCUGAAAACCUCAUCAGCGUGGAAAAGGUGACUCGAGGAACAGCAGAAUACCGCAUUUAUUACAAUACAUAUGGGCAGAGCCAGACUAUAUUAGUUUGCUGCUUAUUUGUUUAUUCAUUUGGCAAGGUACCUGACAUUCCACUGUUCGAGUUUUACUCCUCUGGGUUUUAUGGGUAUCUUCUUUAGUCUCUCGACUAUGACAGGGUGCAUAGACUACCCUGGUGGGCAGGAGAGAAAGAGGCAGAACAAUAGGGCAAUAAGGGUAGCUAUUCAUGUUCUCUUGACUUCCCUAGAAACAGCCCUACAGGUGAGAGAGAGAGUGAAGAUAAAGACCAAGGGGCCUCAUCAUAUAUCAUGUAUCAGACGUCAGAAAUUAUGUUUUGAUGUUACUUGUUACACACUCCGCAUAGUGUUGGGCCCAUAGGUAUUCAACACAUACCUGAUAGAUAUUCAAUUUUAAGAACAGUGUCAACAUUACUUUAGCAUUGGGGUGACUGGGUGGCUCAGACGGUUAAGUAUCUGAGUUUGGCUCAGGUCGUGAUCUCAGGGUUCGUGAGUUCAAGUCCCGCAUCAGAUUCUCUAUUUGCUGUCCGUGCAGAGCCCAUUUCAGAUCCUCUGUCUCUCCCUCUCUCUUCCCCUCCCAGUUCCUACUCUCUCUUUCUCUCAAAAAUAAAUAAGCAUUAAAAAAAAAAAAAAAAGAUUACUUUAGCAUUAGAAUCAUUCUGAAGCAUUUAAGCUAAUUUCUUAAGUACCCAAAGUAAGUUUUCUCAUGCAUUUUUGGUCUCAUGAGCAAAAAUGAUCUCUUCCACAUCCCUACCCCAAACAAAACUUCAUUUGAUUCACUCAUUGGUUUAUUUAUUCAUUCAAGUGCUAUUUUCUGUACCUACUCAAGCACCGUCCUGUCUCUGCAAGGAUACAAAGUUGGAGAGUACUAGCUGUCGUACAAACUUGACCGAUCUAUACAAUCCCAGUUUGGAUCUGCAACUUCUAGAGUGGAAGAUUCCUGGCUUGACUAUCUGGGUUUUGUAUCCUCCAGCCCCAGUUUCCUGAAUCCCAGUCUAUCAGCUCCAAUUCAGCUUGGGUGCCCAACUUUUAACAAACAAAAACCAACCCAAACAAACAAACAGAGUUAGACUUCAAGACUAACACGGUGACUCUUCUGGAAUCCAGGCUCUUGUCCCCUUGUUGCAACCAGCUUAUUCCACCCUUUCAUGAUCUAAGAUCUACAUUCCGUGUGACAGAGAGAAGAGAAACAGAAGAAGAUCAUCCCUCCACCCUUUUCAGGGAGAGGCUUCCUCUUAAUCUCAUUGGGCAGAAUUUAAUCCCAUGGCUGCACCUUGCUAUGAAAGAGAAUGAGAAGUUUCAUCUUUUUACCACUGGGCUUCGGAUCCAAAAGAGAAUAUCUACAGUGGAUGAUGGGGGUGGGGGGGGCUCCUGUCUAGCUCAGUCAUUCAAUGGAGCAUGCAACUCUUAUCUCAGGUCAUAAAUUCAAGCCCCGCAUUGGGUGUAGAGUUUACUUAAAAAAAUAAUAAUAAAUAGAAUGGGUGAUAGGGUAGGCACCUAACAAUCUCUGCCACCUGUCACACACUGUGCUCACUCUAAGCACACUGCCUUCAGAUGCAAAGGCAAUAACCCAUGCCCUCUGGUGAUGGAAACAAAAGUCGUUAACCUUGAAUGAUAUUCACAUCACCAGCGUUGGUUGAAUUGUGUAUAUUGCAAAAUUCUAAUCUCAUCUUUUGCACGCUUACUUGUUGCUGUAAAAUAGGAGUAAAAGAGAUGUUUAGAUGUCAGCGGACACAACUAUUAAAAACUUUCAUACAUAUUAAGACAAAACCCUUGCAGAGGCAAUAACAAAGCCAUCAAACACUAAGAGCUAUAAAAUUAGAACAUCUAAGUUUUUUAUAAAAAAAACAAAACAUUAAAUUGGUCAUAUUGACCAUGGUAUUUUAAAUUUCCAAUUAUCCUGCUAAUUGCAAUAUCUUAGAAUAGGACAUGGAAAAUGGGGAAGUAAAUUAGUGUUACCAUGAGAACCCUAAUUUUUGAGACCAUAACUUUGAAAUAACUCCAUGUCUUUAGUUUUCAUGCAUAAAAGAAACAGAGCACAGUGGAAAACAGGAGCCUGUAGAAUACAGUGACAAAGCCCAUGGUGGCUUUGAUGUUAAUAUCUGACAGAGUUUAAAAAAAAAAAAGGAGGGGGCCAGAUCAGACCUUACCUGAGGCUGCUAUUCAAUUGGGGAUAAUUAAACUACCGCCAAGUUUCUCAAGCAGAGAAGAAACACAUUUUCUCAGGUGAAGAAGGGUGCUUCUCUAAGUUCUGUUCAAACCAUCCCCUAAAUACACUGAAAGAACUGUGAUUUACUGGAGGUUUUAACUGUGUGUAGCCCAUGCUUCAUUUGCUUUUGCUCCAGUGGUUAAUGUCAGAUCCCUGUCCAAAACAAAGUCGCCCUCUCCACCGCCAAGUGCUUCUGAGACUUUCUCCAUUGGCUUGUGGAAAAGCCUGGAUGAAUUUCAAGAGGCAGCUGUGGUGUUUUGUUUUGUUUUGUUUUGUUUUGUUUUGUUUUGUUUUCAGGCUCCCUGGUAUCCUGACCCUGAUUGCCACACCUAUAGGCCAGUGGCUGGUGGUCACGUCCAUGAGGGCUGUGGCUGCCCCAGCACCUUGCCAGGUCUGCUGGUCCCACCUCACUGACACAAAUCAUAGACUCCUGGCCAGUACUAGCUACGACAUCAGUAGAAAGCUACGGCAUGACUGAAACCCAGCCAUGGGACGAGCAUACACGGGAGCUGUAAUCCUGUGGCAGACUCUUGUCUCCCUGUAUCCUGUCCCUCCCCGCCUCCCAUUUCCGCAGUAAUAGAAUCCAUAAUUUUCACAAUGCAAAAUAAAGACCAUACUCUUUAGCUUCUUCUGCGAUUAAAUGUAAGAGCACCCCAAAACAUAAAAGUGAACAUGGAAGAAAGGAGUCAUGCUCCCCUUUUUCCCUUCUUCCUAUCUGUUGGUGAGAAUAUAAAUGCAAUGGCUGGAGCUCCAGCAACAAUCUUGAGCCGUGAGAUGACCUGGAGAAUGGAAACUGUGCAUGCAAAGACAACCAAACAAAAAAAGGACUUUGGGUUCUCUCGACACUAUGAAGUAAAAUCUAUCUCAGAAGUAACUGUCUCGGAGUAGCAGAACAUAUGAGAAAAGCAUUCUAUUUUGCUCACGUCACUGUUUCAUGUUACUUGCAGCCAAAUUGAAUCCUACUUAUAUCCUACAAAUAAAAGCUAGCCAUACUCAAAACAGGGACAUGGUGAGCUGGUUUUUCACUUUCUGGGCCCUCCUUUAUGAUUUUUCUCCCAGAGCCCACUGUUCCCUGAGCCCCUCUGUGUGCCUCUGCACUAAUGCCCUCCAACGAAGAGCUCAUACUCUGUAAUUUUUCCAAUCAUUCUUUUUCUAUCCAGAUUUACCAAUCCUACAUCCCAUUCUUUUGGGAACUGGCAGGUGACUGACUAAGUAAUGUGACAAUUAAACUUAUACUGAGUUAUUCACGUGCAGUAGUGAGUGUUUUUAUUCUAGGAUAGUGUUCCAACAGGGGUUUGGGUGACUAGACCCGAGGAAUGACUAACGUGGAUACCCUAGCAGGUAAUUAUGUUAGGUAUUUUCAGGCAGGCAGACUUUUUGACAUGUGAUAUAAGAAAUACCACUGUGCAAACUGUCAGGCAGCUACACGUUUACAUAGCAUGUCAGAUUCAAUUAGGAUUCCCAGAUAUUUAUCUCAACUUUCUUCUCGUACUACUUGGCUGUAUAAAACCACACCAGUGGCAUUCAAAAUAAGAUACAUGCAGCCUAGGUGAGAUGAAUUGUGGAAGUUAACAGUUGGAAAACUUUCCAAGUUUUCAGAAAUGAUAUUCUUUUGAUUUUUCCUACCUCAGAAAUCAGAAACUGUUUGAAAAAGACCCCCGCGUCCAACAGAAUAACGUGUGGUGCAAAGUCCCGGGCUCCCCCCCGCCCCCACCCCUAAUCUCCAUCCCCUAGCCCUCAACCACCCAAACAGGCAUAGGAUCUAAGUGAAAACACGUGCCAGAUGAAAACAUCACUCCGAGACAAAUCCAGUCCUUCCAAGAAAAGUGCGACUCCCCAACACCCUCCCGUUUGGGAAAGAGAGGGCUGUCACCGGACAAUACGAUGUCGUUUUUUACUUCGUCAAGCCAUCCAAGGCAAAUCUAAUUAUGUGCGACACAGUGAUAAUUUGUAGUUGUUUCCGUAUUUGUACUAACGGGCUGUUCCUCAGCUUCUUAGAACUCAGCUAGCUGACAGGGAAAUAUAUAAUGAGGAAAUGCAGAGGACCACCUGAGUCAUCAAAUGCUGCCUGAGUAAAUAUCCACUCUUAGCCUCCAUUGGCAUCACUUCCAGUAGAAAUACAGUAAUCGGAGCCUGUGCCUUAGACCCCACAGCAACAGCUAAUGACCAACGUGUAAUUGUAAACCAGCUUCCUUGAAGAUAGCACUGAAAUGCGAGGCCAGCCUCGGAAAGUAUGGAAGCAAGUAACCUCCUGGUAACCUCUUAUCUUUCCUUUCAGCGCCCCCUUAUCUUGCAGUCCUCUCCCCCGCUCCUGCCUUUCAUCCCACUACUGUUUACAACCGUGGACCCCUGGCAGGAAAUGAGUCAAAAAAAAAAAAAAACACAAAAAAAAACUAUCAAAAUAUCUCGUUACCCACAAUAGAAAAAAUUCUUAAGUGACUGUCUCCUCCUCUUAUCUGCACUUUAAGAAAUGUCUCUGACUCUCUAAUUGUUGUUAUUUGUUUUUUAGGUCUUAGGCCCUUACUCCUAAGACCCCGACACAAAGGGGCCCACUGGGAGCACCCCUUCCGACCCACCCACACUCUGCUAGGCAUUGUGGGGGCGUACAGGUCAUCUGGGACACCACCGCCCCCAUUAGCUUGUUGUCUUGUGGGAGACGAGACAGAAUGAAUGAAACAAUCAGAAAACAAUGUCAACUGAAGACAAUGAACAAUGAUGUCAUAUUAUAAAUCAGUCCUUGAAACAAGGUGCAGGCCUAAAGAUAGAGCUCAGGUGAGUCCGGAAAGAGGUGGGUGGAGAGGUGUAAGAACUGGAAAGGUCCAGUGAGGACAAUGCGAGCCACGCAAAGUUCAGAGAGAGUUUUCGGCACUGCUAAAGGCAAUUGUUUUGGUCAGAACUUGAUCCUGUGAAGGUCUUUGUGAAUUUUCAGGGUUUUUUUUUCUUUCUUUCUUUCUUUCUUUCUUUCUUUCUUUCUUUCUUUCUUUCUUUCUUUUUUUCUUUUCUUUUCUUUUUUUUUUUUUUUAGUAAGUCUAAAGAGAAUUUUCAGUUUUGAGGCACUCAGCCCUGGUUAAAAGGAAAAGGAUUCUUAUGCAUGCCCCUUUCUCUUGUCUACUAGUGGGAAAGCCACUCGGGUUACUGCAUGGGAGUGACCCUUAGCUCUCUUCUGUACCCAUCGGCAGGAGAGCUUGGUUUUCCUCUUCAGCAAAAUCCUUUGGGAUGCAAGGAAAGGAAGGAAAGAGACACUUCCACUAAAAGGCUGUUACAGAAAAAUAAGCAAAAACGAAGUGAGGGCUUAACCUUGCUUCUAAGUCAGAUUAUGCAUACGCAAUGUUUCAUUCUAAUCUUUUUGUAAUAUAAGCAAGAAUUUGGAGGCACUAAAGUCAAUAUUUAAUUACCCAUGAGUUCCACAUAAUGUGUCCUUUUGCAAAUGUAAAAUUCUUGCCAUUAGGAAGAAAAAUCCAGUCUAAAGUGAGUGAGAUGUUGCUUCUAAUUCUAGAUUUAAAUAAAGGUUUCAUUUAAACAUGGUUUAAAUUGUUGUGUUCAUCAAUUUAUGACUCCGUGGGAAAUGAGACAGAGAAAAAAUGCCUAGCACACUGGCCGUGCUGUGUGGUGCUCCAUAAACGUUAAAUUUAUUAUUUUUAACAAAACUGUAAAAACUAUAAUCUGCAAUAACACAGAUUUAUUGAGCAUUUGUCAUUAGCUCACCUUGUGUUUUUCCAUUUAGAUGAAUUUAAAAUUUUUUUUUCAACGUUUAUUUAUUUUUGGGACAGAGAGAGACAGAGCAUGAACGGGGGAGGGGCAGAGAGAGAGGGAGACACAGAAUCGGAAACAGGCUCCAGGCUCCGAGCCGUCAGCCCAGAGCCCGAUGCGGGCCCCGAACUCAUUGACCGCGAGAUCGUGACCUGGCUGAAGUCGGACGCUUAAUCGACUGCGCCACCCAGGCGCCCCUCCAUUUAGAUGAAUUUAAAGUGCACAGUGGAGGGGCGCCUGGGUGGCUCAGCCGGUUGAGCUCCCGACUUCGGCUCAGGUCAUGAUCUCACGGCUUGUGAGUUCAAGCCCCGAGGCGGGCUCUGUGCUGACGGCUUAGACCCUGGAGCCUGCUUUGGAUCCUGUGUCCUCCUCUCUUAUCUCCCUCUCUGUCAACCUCUCUGCUCACACUCUGUCUCUCAAAAAUGAAUAAACAUUAAAAAUAAAAAUUAAAGUACAUGGUGGAAAAUGUUUGAAAAUGUGCAUAGUGUUUAGAGUAGACCAGACCCUCCCUAAAACUCUUAGCUGGAGAUUCUGUGUUAGAACUUUCUUUGCGUGCUUUUGUAAGCACUCUCUCUCAGCCAAGAACUCAAAGUUGCAAUUUAUAAUUGUAUCAUGGCAUCAAACAGGUCUUCACUGACUGACAAAACCAUUCUGCUUCUCCAAAGUGGGGACGUUUUAGUGCGUAUUUUAGUGCGUUUUAGUGGAUGUCCGUGGGCCAUUCGUAUUUAAAGAAACGGCUGCUUACCCAGUAGAUCUGUGUAGUGGUUUCAACAGCUGUUACCUUCUAGACUUUCUUUCGUGAGCGAUUAGCAUCUUUGGCCAUUUGCAGGACAUUGCUGGCUUCCCCCAACAGAAGGACUCGGGGGUAUAAAUUAAAUGUAGGUAACCAAACUACUUUAAAUGCAAUAGAGCUUUCAAACAAAUCCUCUGGUUGUCCCUUUGCAAAGGGAAGGAUUCUUUUACAAAGCCAGUAAUCACUUCCUAAUGCGUGGGUUUUGCAAAUCUGGAAUUUAAUCCCUCAGCUUGACUUAAAACAGGUAGCUCCUUCUUUAUUUGCUACUCUGCAAGUAGGUCUUUUGGCUUAAUUAUAAUUUAAGGAAUAAAAGAAUCAAGGCCAGAUUGCUCCAAGCGUGCUCUGGUCUGGGCAGGAUUGAUUAUUCACGUGCAAAGGGUAGUAAUUUGGGGUACACGGAAGGGAACGUAAGGUGCAGAGGUGGGCUGGUGGGGGGAGGGGAGGGGACCGUUCCCCAGAACAGUAAGGUCAAAGUUUAAACACCUUUGAUUCUCUUUUUAAAUUUACCAGACUGUUGGGGGAAUUGUCUCCUACAAAAGCAAACAAAUGAAUGAAAAAUGCAAGCUGGUGCAGCCACUCUGGGAAAUAGUAAUGAGGUGCCUCAAAAAACUAAAAAUAGAACUACCCUACAACCCAGCAAUUGCACUACUAGGUAUCUAUCCAAGGGAUACAGGUGUGCUGUUUCGAAGGGACACAUGCACCCCAGUGUUUAUAGCAGCACUAUCAACAAUAGCCAAAGUAUGAAAAGAGCCCAAAUGUCCGCCGAUGGAUGAAUGGAUAAAGAAGAUGUGGUAUAUAUAUACAAUGGAGUAUUACUCUGCAAUCAAAAAGAAUGAAAUCUUGCCAUUUGCAACUAUGUGGAUGGAACUGGAGGGUAUUAUGCUAAGUGAAAUUAGUCAGUCAGAGAAAGACAAAAAUCAUAUGACUUCACUCAUAUGAGGACUUUAAGAGACAAAACAGAUGAACAUAAGGGAAGGGAAGCAAAAAUAAUUUAAAAACAGGGAGGGGGACAAAACAGAAGAGACUCUUAAAUACAGAGAACAAACUGAGGGUUGCUGGAGGGGUUGUGGGUGGGGAGACGGGCUAAACGGGUAAAGGGCAUUAGGGAGGACACUUGUUGGGAUGAGCGCUGGGUGUUAUACGUAGGGAAUGAAUCACCAGCAUCUACUGAAAUCAUUAUUGCACUAGACGCUAACUCACCUGGAUGUAAAUUAAAAAUUCAUUUUAAAAAAAGAUGUGUAAGUACAGCAAGGAAAUAUCUAAGUUGCUGUUGUAAAACAAAACCAGGGAGAUGGGAAGGGACAGAAUUAGUUGCAGAAGUAUGUUUUUCUAAGCUGGAGACUAGAAAACCAAAAAGUAAGACCUUCCGCCUAUGGAAAAAGGCUGGGCCACGUCCUUUUCAUUUCUCCUUUGUGCCCCCCACUCACAUGCUUCUGUCUUCAGUUACCGCCCUGCAGUCCUCCAGGGAGAAAAAGAAUCUUGCUUUGUCCCCGCCAGACCUUCAAAGCAAACGUAGCCCUUUGUUCUCAGAGCUCUUUCACCUUCACGAAAUGCUGAUACAGUUUCCACGAAUCAGAGGAAAUCUGACGGUAGGAGUAGAGGCAGGUUUUGCAGAAAAAGAACUUUCUUCCUGCAACCAAGACAGGAUACAUUUAAAGUCACCUCCUCUGGGAUAAAUACUGAUGUGUUGGUGGCCUAGACCCUACAUGCUUUAAGGAUCCCUUUCUCGGACUCUAUGCCAAAAAGUGUGAGAAUUAGAAAAAAAAAGAAAAAUCUAUUCUGCCUAAAUGCUAUCCCUCUCUGUGUCUGUCUACAUUUUUCUCAAGAUUUUAAGCUGAAUGUUCUUCAAGGUGAUGCAUUUUCAAAAGGAAACCUCUAAUUCUGUCUGCUCAGCUCAAUCAACCCCUUUGAACUUCCCUUUUGGGUUCUCUAAAUCCUCAGUGUGCUUUACUGCUUGAAAUUGAGCGAGAGGGCAUUUCAGGGGAUCAAUCAAAGAUAAUAGGAGGGUUCUGAGCUCUUACAGUUUAAAAGAAUGCUGUUUUCAGAAAUCGUGAACAAGAACACCAUUAUGAGCAUUUCAUUAUUUCUAUGCAUAUAUUACAAACUCCUCCAUUGCUAGAAUGUAAUAACUAAAAACUGCCUUAUAAUGAAAUUGAAAUGAAUUUCAUUCCAUGAAAUGAGACUUUAAAAUCGGCCGGGCAAACAGGGGCAGUUUUUUCUCCUGUUGGCUCCCGAAAACACAAGAGGAAUGUUGGUCCUAUCAUGUCAGACAUGUUAUUGACAUAACUUUCCAGAGCUCCGAGCGCCUGGUUAUGUAAUAUUCCAAGGCAACUCCAGCCACUUCAAGGUUAUUGUGAAGUCCCUAAACAAAAGAAAAGAAAACACUAAAUGAAGUUUAAUACACGUCAGUUGAAAAGAUACACAGGAGGCAUGAAGGGUUUGGGGAGGUAGUGAUGUCAAUUACCAAUGACAUGAAUAUAUUUGUUCUGCCGUGUACAUAGUCUAAAUAAAAAUCUGCCACUUGCCAAGAGCCCCGAAGGCCUGGCAUCUACAGGAUGCUAGAUUGAGCUUUAAGUAUCGAAAACUAAGAAAAUGGAUCCUGAGAAACUUAACAGAAACCCAUGGGGGAGGGGAAGGAAAAAAAAAAAAAAGAGGUUAGAGUGGGAGAGAGCCAAAGCAUGAGACUGUUAAAAACUGAGAACAAACUGAGGGUUGAUGGGGGGUGGGAGGGAGGGGAGGGUGGGUGAUGGGUAUUGAGGAGGGCACCUUUGGGGAUGAGCACUGGGUGUUGUAUGGAAACCAAUUUGACAAUAAACUUCAUAUAUUAAAAAAAAAAAAAAAAACUAAGAAAAUAAAUGAACAUUUGAAACACAUUCAAAUUUGACCAGGUAAGAGUUAAUUAUGUAAUCUAUAGACCUUCUAUUCUCCCUCCUGAUGAUACCUGGAACUUAGGCCAUUGUUCCUUAGGUUCCAUGAUGUCCCAGCAUGCUGGGUUUGGCAAGAGAGAGGAUACGAAAGUUCACAUUCAGGUAACUGUUUCAGCUCAGGGACAAAUGUUAAAAGGAAAUACAAAUAUAAAAAACACACAGGCGUACCUGGAUGGCUCAGUUGGUUAAGCCUCUGACUUUGACUCAGGUCAUGAUCUCACAGUUUAUGAGUUUGAGCCCUGCAUUGGGCAAUCUGCUGUCAGCACAGAGCCCGCUUCGGAUCCUCCGACCACCUUCCUUUCUGCCCCUCCCCUCCUUGCUCUCUCUCGCGUGCAGGCUCAAAAUAAAUAAAUGAACUUAAAAAAAAAAAUAAAAAAUGAAUAAAUAAAAACAUACAUAUGUGGUGACAUGGCCUUCGAAUGGAACAAUAUGCAGUCUUUCACUGUAAUAUUGGUGGCGAGGUGUAAUACUGACAAAGUGUUUAAGGAAGUAAAUAAAAACAGAGGCAAGAGUCCAAAUUUCACAUAGAGUAGAAGUCCAAACAUUGGAAAGAAAUGUAGAAAACAAAACUAAUGGGGGAGGAAGAAGUAAGGGUGAGGAUUAGGGUUGUGGUGGACUUUGUUUUUCUGGCUUUAUGGCUUUUCAGAUUUUUUUUUUUUUAAUGAGGAUGUAUGCCUUUGGUAUUUGUGAUGUGUAACAAAACUGUACAGGACAAAGUCAUGUCUGCCUUUUCUGCACUCAGCCAUUCUUUUUUUUUUUUUUUAAUGUUUAUGUAUUUAUUUAUUUUUUUAAAUUUUUUUUAAUGUUUUAUUUUAUUUUUGAGACAGAGAGAGACAGAGGGGAGGGGGGGGAGGGUCAGAGAGAGAGGGAGACACAGAAUCCGAAACAGGCUCCAGGCUCUGAGCUGUCAGCACAGAGCCUGACACGGGGCUUGAACCCACGGACCGGGAGCUCAUGACCUGAGCCGAAGUCGGCCGCUUAACCGACUGAGCCACCCAGGCGCCCCUGUAUUUAUUUUUGAGAGAGAGAGAGAGAACACAAGCCGGGGAGAGGCAGAGAGAGAGGGAAUCGAAGCAGGCUCCAGGCUCUGAGAUGUCAGCGCAGAGCCCGACGUGGGGCUGGAACCUAUGAACCGUGAGAUCAUCACCUGAGCCGAAGGCUGAUGAUUACCCGACUGAGCCACCCAGGUGCCCUUGGACCCGGUCGUUCUUAAUUAAAUCUUUUUGUCAUUUUUGCAAAGACUGGAGUUAAAGAAGGCCUUUAGGCACUGAUUCAAAUACAGACUCCAAAGGACCAUCGUGGGCAUGACCCAGGUUCCCCAACAGUGCGGAUCAGAAGACUUACUUAGACAGGGUCUGUCUAGAUGCAGUACACAGUACCGUGCAUUUCUGUCAAAUGGCCGUCAUGAUUAUUAAGGAUUACCUUUCAAUGGGUAAGCAAAAGAUCCUCUUUUUAUUCCUCUAGGAAAAACCAGACGGCUUAGGGUCUAGCAAGCACCAGCUUCAAAGGGAAUAUAGGCAGAGAACGAGGACGCUUCCAAAAGAGAGACUUGGUGUUCAUUUCAAUGGAAGCCGAGAAUCAGAGGGGAGGCUUCUUUUUUGGGGUCAGAGUUUAAGUGGGAACUCAGCCCAAUCUGGGACCGGACUCAAGGGCCCAGCAGAAACCCUGCUUUGGCAUGCGGGGAGAACAGCUCGGCCUCCGUGGGAGUGAACGAAGAAGGCGGGGCUUCGCUGGAGUUGGGCGGCAAUCAGGAUGUCGGUGGAUGAAAACAGACCUGAUUUGUGAGGCUGGACAGCGCUCUCCACAUCCCGGUUUCUGAGUCACCUGAACCAAACUAGGCUCUGUUUUAUUACCUAGAACCGCCCACCCAUGGACAGAUUGCACUCCUGUCAACCACCAUCUGGAGGAAAGUUGUUCUCACCACCAGGCUCACAAACACGGGCAUGUGUGUUGCUAGCAUGGCCGUGACCUUCCAGGAGAAAAGUACAGGCAGGCUGA
Molecule: long non-coding RNA, 17008 nt
Filed under: Lynx pardinus (Iberian lynx)
Lineage: Eukaryota; Metazoa; Chordata; Mammalia; Carnivora; Felidae
Source: RNAcentral